AGCUUUUUCGGCGUCAAGGUCUUUUGAUACCGGAAGUUGUAAAACAUUCAACUCAGUCGACUUGACAUCCUCAGUUGCCAUAAAUUGUAAAGCUGCCAUAUUUGAAUAAAGUUUGUGUUAAUUAUUUUGAUAUCUAAAAAUAGUCUCUUUUGAUAAUUGGGGUUGAAGUAGGGGGAGAAAGUAGUGAGAGAAAAAUUCGAACAUUUAUAUAAAAUAAACUUAUACUAACCAGAUGCAUAAAGCAAGAAGGCUAGAACCAAACAAAACAUCGUUGGAAAACGCUUUCCACCCAUUAUGAUCAAUGAAGACAAACUACGAUUAUGAAAAAGAAGUUGCAACAAUUGUAUUGCCUUCGUGAUAAAUUUAUAGGGAGAGUAACAAGUUUUUCUUUCCGUGUUGUCAGGUGUGGCAAAACGGUUAAAAUAAAAUAGUUAACCACCCAUAUUAUUCACUAAAAAUAAGUUGGAUAAUGAACUUUCUAAAAAUGGGUCAAAUAUGGAUAAGAACCAUAUUAUCCAUUUAUAAAAUAGAUAACCAAUGGGUCUAACUUUUACAUUUGCAAAGCCUCAACUUUGGGGUUCUUCAAGUUAGGGAGAUUAAGAAUUCUCCCAAAAGUGAUCAUAUGCAAGAAGUCAUGGAUAAUAUGGUUAUCCAUAUUAUCCGCCGAUUAACCCAUUUUUUUAUCCGUUUUAUAUAUGGGUCGGGUUGGAUAAUUUAUCCAUUUUUUCAUUAUCCGUUUUCGACCCGAAUCAUAUCCGCCCCGCCCCGCCCCUUUGGUCCUCCUACUGGUUGUGUAAAAGGGAGUGGUUAAUUGAAUCUUAGAAAAAUAACAUUAGUAUUAUUAAAUACAAAUUAUUGGAUUUAAUUGAGCAAGAUAAAAGUGACAUUUCAACUAACAUUUACAAAUUAUUGGUUGUACAAAACUUGAUGGAAAAUGACAUUCCUGUGCAAAAUACAAAUAUUAGGCAUCUUAUAUCAUCUACAACGUUUUACAUGUUGGUUUUUUUUUAUUUUUUUAUAUUAUUAUAAUGUGAAUAAUUUCUUCAUUAAUAUGUCAUUUUUUUAAAAUUUUGCAAGAAAAUUUUAAUAAUACUGGAUGAUAGUUAUAGAAAGUAAAAAAUAAUAUUAUACUUAAAGAUCCUCUUACUAACGCAAUAGUACUUAAAUUUAAGUAUUUAUAAUAUACACUAAAUGUCUAAAAAGUAAGAAAGUAUGUUGCACUGAAAAGGCCAACACAUAUGUCACGACCCAAAAUCAUACCUAGUUGUUAUGACACCUAACUGCGAGAUGCUAUGUAAGCCAACCAACAAAAAGAGAAACUUGAAGGAAAGAUCAUCAAUAAACCAUAAAUAAGAUGCAGAAAAUCUAUACAACUAUCUCAAGAACUAGUAGUACAAGUCAUAAGCGACUAAAAACAAGAUUAAGAGUGCAACUCUAAUAUAAAGAGAGAUUACAUCAUCUGUUUGAAAUUCACAUAAACAAAAAUAUAAGACAUAAAAUACCAUGAACAAGUGGCAGCUUGUAUCCGGAACACUUGUACCUCAUCAAUGCUAGCCUUCAUCAUCAUAACAGAUCAACUCCGAAAUCUACAGGCAAGAUGACCCGUGACCUUGCACAUACAAAUCUCGAUCCCACGCAACUCACCACAUCUAUCAUGCCAUCAUAUGAAAAGUACGAGAAUCUCAUAAUCCACUCCAAGUCAAAAGCAAACUACAUACUUAAUUAGCCAGGAACCUUCCAUUUGAUCUCCUCCAGGAGAAAAUCAUAAUCUGCAAUAUGCUGCUCACACCAGUAGGAAAUAUCCACCUCGAACCAUGAUA
RNAcentral lists this long non-coding RNA (1820 nucleotides) under Nicotiana tabacum (common tobacco). RNAcentral's name for it is "long non-coding RNA (NTAB_LNC013180)". The record is from RNAcentral. Lineage: Eukaryota; Viridiplantae; Streptophyta; Magnoliopsida; Solanales; Solanaceae.